This 165-nucleotide ribosomal RNA is filed under the name uncultured bacterium. RNAcentral's name for it is "partial 16S ribosomal RNA". It matches the Rfam family "Bacterial small subunit ribosomal RNA", at positions 355 to 511 of the family's 1533-position model. The record is from RNAcentral.
UAGGGAAUCUUCCACAAUGGGCGAAAGACCUGAUGGAGCAACGCCGCGUGUGUGAUGAAGGGUUUCGGCUCGUAAAACACUGUUGUAAGAGAAGAAUGACAUUGAGAGUAACUGUUCAAUGUGUGACGGUAUCUUACCAGAAAGGAACGGCUAAAUACGUGCCAG